AGUGAACGCUGGCGGUAGGCCUAACACAUGCAAGUCGAACGGCAGCACAGUAAGAGCUUGCUCUUAUGGGUGGCGAGUGGCGGACGGGUGAGGAAUACAUCGGAAUCUACUUUUUCGUGGGGGAUAACGUAGGGAAACUUACGCUAAUACCGCAUACGACCUACGGGUGAAAGCAGGGGAUCUUCGGACCUUGCGCGAUUGAAUGAGCCGAUGUCGGAUUAGCUAGUUGGCGGGGUAAAGGCCCACCAAGGCGACGAUCCGUAGCUGGUCUGAGAGGAUGAUCAGCCACACUGGAACUGAGACACGGUCCAGACUCCUACGGGAGGCAGCAGUGGGGAAUAUUGGACAAUGGGCGCAAGCCUGAUCCAGCCAUACCGCGUGGGUGAAGAAGGCCUUCGGGUUGUAAAGCCCUUUUGUUGGGAAAGAAAAGCAGCAGGUUAAUACCCCGCUGUUCUGACGGUACCCAAAGAACAAGCACCGGCUAACUUCGUG
This 492-nucleotide ribosomal RNA is filed under the name uncultured bacterium. RNAcentral's name for it is "partial 16S ribosomal RNA". It matches the Rfam family "Bacterial small subunit ribosomal RNA", at positions 29 to 507 of the family's 1533-position model. The record is from RNAcentral.